AAAGCCUUUGUUCAUGAAAAACACAAACUUCCUGGUUGGGAAAAGAAAAUUUUAAUUCAUCCUUUUGACCCAAACUAGUUUGGGUUCCUAAGAUUAACCCAUGAUUUCAUUUUGCAGGUCCAAGUGAAGGGGAGUUGGAAAAUAUGCUACAUGGAUAGUGGAUGCUCAAAACAUAUGGCUGAGAACAAGGACCAAUUCCUUUCACUUGAGAACCUAAAAGGAGGUAAUGUCUCAUUUGAAAAUGGAAAGAAAGGGAGAUCAUUGGAGUUGGAAAGGUAGGAAAGAGAGACUCUCAUUCCAUUGAAAAUGUCUAUUUCAUAGAUGACUUGAAAUAUAGCAUGAUAAGUGUGUCACAACUGUGUGACAGUGGUAAUCUUGUGGCUUUCACUUCCACAAAAUGUUUUGUGAUUAGCCUUUCUACUGACAAGAUUGCUUUGCAGGAAAAGAGGGUUAACAAUAUUUACAUUGUAGAAUUGUCAACUCUCUCUGAAAAUAAACUUACUUGCUUAAGUGUGAUGAUCCCCUCCUUUGGCACAAAAGACUUGGCCAUGUCAGUCUUAAUCAUUGAACAAAUUAGUCUCCAAAGACUUGGUGAUAAGGUUACCUAAUGUCAAGUUUAAGAAAGAUAAAGUUUGUGAGGCAUGUACAAGGGGGAAACAGGUAAGGUCAUCCUUCAAACCAAAUAAAAUGGUAAGUACGUCCAAGACCUUGGAACUGGUUCAUAUGGAUCUCUGUGGUCCAAUGAGAUCCAUGAGCAGAGGUGGUAAAAGAUAUUUAAUGGUGCUUGUUGAUGAUUAUUCUAGAUUUACCGGGGUGUUGUUUCUAAUCUCUAAAGAUGAAACAUUUGAAAUGUUCACUGCUUUUGUUAGAAAAAUCCAUAAACAGUUAGGAAAUCAACUUGCAUCCAUUAGGUCUGAUCAUGAAACUGAAUUUGAAAAUGCAAAGUUUGCUGAAUUUUGUGAUGAAACUGGAAUAGAUCAUAAUUUCUCUGCCCUUAGAACUCCUCAGCAAAAUGGGCUAGUUGAAAGGAAGAACAUGACCCUUGAGGAUAUGGAAAGGACCAUGUUACUUUCGAAUUUUGUGAUGUAAAUGGAGUAGAUCAUAAUUUAUCUGCUCCUAGGACUCCUCAGCAAAAUAGGGUAGUUGAAAGGAAGAACAAGACCCUUGAGGAUAUGGAAAGGACCAUGCUUCUUUCCAGUAAACUACCUCACAGCUUCUGGGCAGAGGCUGUAAACAUUGCAUGUUAUAUAAUAAAUAGAUGCACGAUAGACCUCUUAUAGAGAAAACUCCCUAUGAGUUAAUUAAAAGGAGAAAACCAAACAUAUCCCAGCUUAGGGCUUUUGGUUGCAAGUGCUAUGUGCACAAUAAUGGUAAAGACUCCUUCGGUAAGUUUGAUCCCAGAAGUAAUGAGGGAGUGUUCUUGGGAUAUUCUACACAUAGAAAAGCGUAUAAAGUGUUUAAUAAAAGAACUCUGUGUGUAGAAGAAAGUGUACAUGUUGUAUUUGAUGAAUAUAACAUUCUUUCUGAGAGACAUGAACAUGAAGAUGAAGCCAUCGGAUGGUGAGACAAUUGACUGAAGCCACAUCACAAGUCAAGGUGAUAUCAAAGGAAGGAACAGGUGAUGGAACAGGCCCUUCCACUCAGGGAAACCUGACAGGGGGAGCCAAUAUGAGAGAAAUUGAUCAAAAUUCUCUAGAGGAACCUGCACGUGAACCUGUUCCUCUGUAGAAUAACAAUGAAGAAGCAUCCAGUAGGGACCAGAUGUUGGGUAAAUCUUACAAGUACCCGAGUUCUCAUCCCAUUGAGAACAUCAUCAAUGAUCCAACAUCUGGAGUCAAAACUAGAUCUCAACUGAAGAACCUGUGUGCAUUUGAUGCUUUUCUAUCCAUCAUUGAGCCCAAAAAUGUUGUUGAGGCUUUGCAAGAUGAAGAUUGGGUCAAUGCUGUGCAGGAUGAACUAAAUCAAUUGAGAGAAGUCAAGUUUGGAACUUGGUUCCAAGACCCAAGGACAGAUCAGUCAUUGGAACAAAAUGGGUAUUCGGGAACAAACUAGAUGAAGAUGGAACAAUUACAAUAAACAAUGCAAGGUUAGUGGUCCAGGGUUACAGUUAAGAGGAACGUAUUGACUAUGAUGAGACUAUUUCUCCAGUUGCUAGACUUGAAGCAAUUAGACUUCUCAUAGCCUUUACAACAUAAAUGGAAUUCACUCUUCAUCAGCUGGACGUCAAAAGUGCCUUCCUAAAUGGCUACCUCAAGGAAGAAGUAUUUGUUAAACAACCUCCAUGAUUUGAAAGAAUGGAGUGUCCUGAGCAUGCGUACAAGCUAGAUAAAGCCCUAUAUGGUCUCAAACAGGCCCCUAGAUCUUGGUAUGAAAGAUUGUUAAAAUUCCUACUGGAGCAUGAGUGCAAAAGAGGUAAAAUUGACAGCACUUUGUUCCUAAGGAAAAAAAGGUAAAGAUCUUCUUUUUGUACAAGUAUAUCUGGAUGGCAUAAUAUUUGGGGCCACUACAGAUAGGUUGAAUAAAGACUUUGCAAAACUAAUGGGCAGUGAGUUUGAAAUGAGUAUGAUGGGUGAACUCAACUUUUUCUUAGGUUUGCAGAUCAAACAAAGUCCAAAUGGUUCCACCAGAAGAAGUACACAAAAGAGCUAAUCAAGAAAUUUAAAAUGGAAGAAUCCAAAGAAAUAGAUACACCUAUUGCAACUGCCACAAAAUUAGACGUUGAUGAACCUAGUUCAUCAGUUGAUCAAAAGUUGAAUAGGGGUAUGAUUGGAUCACUUUUGUAUCUUACUACCAACAGACGUGACAUUGUUUUCAGUGCAGGACUUUGUGCUUGUUUUCAGGUAAAUCCAAAUGAGUCACAUCUGAUAACUGUCAAAAGAAAAUUGAGAUACUUGAAAGGCACAAUUGAUCUGUGGUAUCCCAAAGGUAGUAAUUUGGACUUAAUUAAAUAUGUUAACACUGACUAUACAAGUUUCCUAGUGGAUAGAAAAAGCACUUCAGAUAUGGCACACUUCUUGGGUUCUUGUCUUGUAUCAUGGGCUACCAAAAAGCAGAUCAAUGGCUCUCUCUACUGCUGAAGCUGAAUAUGUCGUUGCUGCUUCAUGUUAUGCUCAAUUACUGUGGAUUAAGAAACAACUGGUAGACUUUGGAAUUGAAGUGGGGUGCAUACCAAGAAUUUGUGAUAACACCAGUGCAAUUAUCAUGACAAAGAACCCUGUUCAUCAAAAAAGGACUAAGCAUAUAGAUGUUAGACACCACCUGUGAUAACACUAGUGCAAUUAGUAUGACAAAGAUCCCUAUUCAUUAUAAAAAGACUAAGCACAUAGAUGUUAGACACCACUUCUUAAGAGACAACUAUGAGAAAGGACUAAUCUUCAUAGAAUUCUGUGCUAUUGAUAAACAAAUAGCUGACAUCUUCACUAAGGCACUGAGUAGAGAAUACUUUGAAAGGAACAUGUUGUAAUUAAGGAUGAUUAAUAUCACUGCUGACAUCUUCACUAAGGCACUGAGUAGAGAAAACUUUGAAAGGAACAUGUUGGAAUUAAGGAUGAUUAAUAUCACUUAAAAGGUACAGUUCAGAUUGCACAAUAUAAUAUAAUAUAAUAUAAUAUAUAUAUAUAUAUAUAUUUAAUUUGAAGAAAAAAAAAUUUGGUUAGGAGUUCUUAAUUAAUGUAAAUAUCUAGAUUAAUUCUUACUCAGCCUCAUACUUUAACUAGUAUACUCUUGUGACAUGUAUUUAUAUAACUCAUUCAUCUCUUACAAAGUUUUCUAUUCUGACAUUUGAGGCAUAAUCAAGAGAAGUUUCACUUGAAGAACCUGGUUCAUCAAUAUAUGCUCAUGAAAAAGUUCAAGUAUGUUUCUAUACUUUAUUAGAAAAAUUAAAUUACCAAUCAUGAGCAAGAGUCCUAGAUAUACCAAACGUCUAAAAAACCCUAUCCGUUGGGCAAAUUGAACCCGUUUCAUUGAAACUAGAAGUCAAAAAAAGAAAAUAACGGGUCUUCUCCCUAAAUAUUAGCGAUCCUCAUUAAUCACAAAGGAUACCUGAAUUCUCAAUUGAUUAGACUUCUAAUAGACCUUCGAAAAGGUUGCUUUUACUGAUCUAAUCAUAACCCCUCUUUAAAAAACCUCAAAUCCCUCAUAACUGUCACUCUUCACUUAGACCUAUUAUCAUACAUUCUCUUCUCCAAAAUUCUCCUAAGAUUUCAAGAAAUUUUCCACCAUGACAAAUCCCCAAGACAAUCCUGAAACUCCACCACCAGUCUCACCCAACACCACCUCAUCUUCCUCACCUCCUAUAGAAACCCCAAAACCUAGAUUACCUCGCCAGAAAAUGUUAGCAAGAAAAACAGUAGCAACCGGUUCCCUGAGGAGGAAUUUAAAUGAAAAAUUACAAGCAGUAAAAGAAAAGAAGUCCCAGCCAAAGAAACUGACUCGAGCUCUGAAUUCAGUCAAUAUAUCUCUGCCAGUGAAGGAGAUGAACCUGGGUAUUCUGAAAAUGACAAAGCUCUAGAAACCCAAGGAGAGGUAAACACAUGUUUUGUAUUUUCUGAUGUAGUUCAUUGGGAGGAAAACAUGUUUGUUCUGAUCGGGGUUGCUAAGGAUGUUGAAGGGGCUGAUUAUGGGAAAAUGAGGAAGAAUAAAAGAAGGAAGUGUUGGCUAUAUGUGGUAGUGGGGAAGAGGAAGGCUCGAAGUCAGGGGGAAGUGGCUUAGGAGAAGCUGCUGAGGGUUUGGUUAAUCUGAGUGAACAAAAAGAUGAACCUGGUUCAUCUACAGAAGAAACUUUGGUGUAUAUGCUGAAGAAAGUUGGGGCUAGUUAUGACCUAAAUAAAUGCAAGGCAUCCUCAAAAAGGACCCCUGCUACGUUGAAACAAACCAAGAAAAGUAAAACUUAAUCACCUAAGUCUGCUCAUAGGGUUAGAACCACAAGAAGUAGAGUUAGUAAGAGUGAAACAGAAUUGCAUAAAGCUCUAGAGGAGAGUAAGAAAAAGAGGAAAGAAAAGGGGAAGCAAAAAUAGGUGAAAGUUCUGAGGCUAUUAUUGAAGAGAAAGAGGAAGAGAUGGAAUUGGUCCAUCAAAAGAGGGAUACUACUGUGGAAGUUCCCACUGUUAAAUAAAAGGGAAACAGGUCUUCUAUCAAUAAGCCCUCUAAAUCUGUACCUGCUGAAGCCACUCUAGCCAAGAGAACUAGGUCAGCUAAAAGGGGUAAACAAGUGAAGAUAAAUAAAGAAAAAGAUGAUGAGUGGAGUGGAGAAGAAGAAGAAGAAGAAGAAGAGUCUGAACAAGAACAAGAUAGGUAUGCCAUGUUUGGCAAGAAAAAAAUCUUGAAGGGAAGACUGCUCAAAGACCUACAGGAGCCAGGCAUGAUGAGACUUAUGACUGCACUAGAAGCACAGGGGUGGAAGGACAUGGUCCUUCAGAUGGAUGGUAAAUUGGCCGGGAAAGAACUUGCUGAGUUCAUGGCAAAUGGGACAGGGAAAAAUGGACUGGUAACUAGCACAGUAAAAGGAGUGAAGGUGAAGUUCUCCAGUAAAGAACUUGUUGAGUUCAUGGCAAAUGGGACAGUGAAAAAUGGACGGGUAACUAGCACAGUGAAAGGAGUGAAGGUGAAGUUUGAUGCUGCCAAGCUGGGCAAAAUUCUGGACAUCCCUAGUGAGGGAUAUGAUGACUAUAAAAGGCAAAGAUGGCCUUUUCUGGAUAGAUUGCCUACUGAUCUUCAAAUCACUAAAAACUUAUGUGACACCAAAUCUGAUGAGGAAGUGCAUGAGGCAAGGGCUAUUCAGAAAAGUGAAAUGAGGCCAGAGCAUAAAGUGCUCUUUGAGUUUGUAAACAAAUGUCUUCUGCCCAGAUAGGAGAUGAGGCAUACAACUAACUACAUGGACCUGGUCCUCAUGCAAUGCCUUAAUGAAGGAAAGUAGAUUAGCUGGUCUGCCUUCAUUGUGAAGUUGCUGGAAAGGAUACUCAAUGGCUCAAAGGCUCAUGCCAUUCCCUAAGGAUUUAUUCUGACAACUGUGCUUAAAAGACUGAAUGUUCCCAUGAAGAAGUGGGAAAUGGCUUCCAGCAAAGAGCACUUUGGUAUCAAGACCCUCCAAGCUUGUGAUUAUCUGCUCAGUACUGACCCAGUUGAACCUGGUUCAUCAAUGAAGACUCCUGUGAACAGCAAGGUCAGAGCCUUGGUUCAGGAGGUUGGGAGAAGGGCUGCUGAGAUAGCAAGGCUUCAAGUCAGAAUUGCUGAACUAGAGGAAGAAAGAAAUGGGUUGAGAGCUGAAUUUGCAAAAGAGAAGGAGAAAAUGAAAGAAUGCUUCAACAAAUGCUUAAUAUGCUACAAACACAACCCUUCAUCUCUUCUAAGCCUUAGAUGUCGUAUCCUGUUGUGAACCAGUCUAGAACCCCCAGUGACCCAGAUUAGGGACUUUAUCUGUUUUGUUUCCUUUUGUUUUUGCUCAUGGUUGAUAGUUCUGUUUUUCUUUUUGUGGACUACAAUAUAGAAUCAUCACUUAUCAAUGCAUGCAAUGUCUUUGAUUUUUGUUAAUUAUGCUCUUAAUAGUUCUUUUUGAUAAGCUGAUUUUUAAUUAACUAAAGCAUGCUUUCACUUGAAGUUACCUCAAUGGCCAUGAGUACUCAUUAGCUUUUCGGGAUUCACAUUAUUUAUGCAACUUUUCGAUGAUGCCAAAAGGGAGAAGAUAUUGUGCUUAAAUCUAUUAUCUAAACAUGUGAUGUUUAUGACCUAAUUAAAGCUGACCCUUAAUGACAAGUUAAAUAUUUUAAGUGUUGAUAUUUCAGCUGAGUUCCACAGGUUCUCUGAUCAGAAAAAGCACAGAGUUUGUCAUCAUCAAAAAAGGGAAAUUUGUUGGCUCAAGUU
Molecule: long non-coding RNA, 6858 nt
Filed under: Nicotiana benthamiana
Lineage: Eukaryota; Viridiplantae; Streptophyta; Magnoliopsida; Solanales; Solanaceae
Description: long non-coding RNA (NBEN_LNC007522)
Source: RNAcentral